CUAAGAUAGUAAGAGCAUACGGUGGAUGCCUUGGCGAUAUCUGCCGAUGAAGGACGCGACAAGCUGCGAAAAGCUGCGGAGAGGUGCAAAUGACCAUUGACCCGCAGAUCUCCGAAUGGAGCAAUCCGGCAGGGUUUAUCCCCUGUCACCCAUAUCUUCGAAUAUGGGAGGGAACCGGGCGAACUGAAACAUCUAAGUAGCCCGAGGAAGAGUAAUCAAACGAGAUACCCUAAGUAGCGGCGAGCGAACGGGGCCCAAGCCCAAACCGGUGAAGGAAACUUUGCCGGGGUUGAGGACUGCCAUACGAACUAGCCCAUUAGCCGAAAUUCCUGGGAAGGAAUGCCGAAGAAUGUGAAAGCCAUGUAAGCGAAAAUGGAAAAGGGACAGGCAGCACCAGAGUACCGCGGGACACGAGAAACCCCGUGGGAAGCCGGGGGGACCACCCUCCAAGGCAAAACACAGAUAUCGACCGAUAGCGCAUAGUACCAUGAGGGAAAGGUGAAAAGCACCCCGGGAGGGGAAUGAAAUAGAACCUGAAACCGUAUGUUUACAAGCAGUCGAAGACCGCUUAAUAAUAAGGUCAACGGCGUGCCUAUUGAAGAAUGAACCGGCGAGUUAUGAGGUCCAGCAAGGUUAAGCAGGAAAUGCGGAGCCGAAGCGAAAGCGAGUCUUAAUAGGGCGACAAGUUGGAUUGCAUAGACCCGAAACCACAGUGAUCUACCCAUGUCCAGGCUGAAGCACAGGUAAAAAUGUGUGGAGGGCCGAACCUAUAUCCGUUGAAAAGGGUUAGGAUGAGGUGUGGGUAGGGGUGAAAUUCCAAUCGAACGUGGAGAUAGCUGGUUCUCCCCGAAAUAGCUUUAGGGCUAGCCUCGAGGUAGAGAUUGCAGGCGGUAGAGCACUGAUCAGGAGAGGGGCCUACCCGGCUACCAAACCCAGUCAAACUACGAAUGGCUGCAAUUAUACUCGGGAGUCAGACUACGACUUAUAAGGGCCGUGGUCAAAAGGGAAACAGCCCAGAUCAUCAGCUAAGGUCCCAAAUGCCGUGCUAAGUGGCGAAGGAUGUGGCGUUUCAUAAACAACCAGGAUGUUGGCUCAGAAGCAGCCACCAUUUAAAGAGUGCGUAAUAGCUCACUGGUCGAGAGACGCUGCGCCGAAAAUGUCCGGGGCUCAAGCACGGAACCGAAGCUAUGGCAUUGACUAUGUCAAUGGGUAGGGGAGCGUUCUUAACAGGAAGAAGCAUGACCGGAAGGACAUGUGGACCGUUAAGAAGUGAGAAUGCCGGUAUGAGUAUCGAAAAGAAAGGUGAGAAUCCUUUCCACCGAAAGCCCGAGGGUUCCUGAGCAACGAUCGUCGUCUCAGGGUAAGUCGGGACCUAAGCCGAGGCGGAGACGCAUAGGCGAUGGACAACAGGUUGAAAUUCCUGUACCGGAUACAAUCGUUUGAGCGAUGGAGCGACGCAGAAAGGCAUAUGAUCGCGCGACUGGAAGAGCGCGUCCAAGUGCGUAUGUUGAAUCGGAGGCAAAUCCCUGAUUCUGAAAGCAGAGACACGAUGGGGAGUUAUACGAAAGUAUGACGAACUCAUAGAUCCUACACUGCCAAGAAAAACUUCUAGUGAGAAAGUAUCCGCCCGUACCGUAAACCGACACAGGUAGGCGGGGAGAGAAUCCUAAGGUGCGCGGGAAAACCCUCGUUAAGGAACUCGGCAAAUUGCAUCCGUAACUUAGGGAGAAGGAUGACCUUAAGUAAGCGAAAGGGAGAAACCCCUGGAACAGAACAAGGUGGCAGAAAAGAGGCCCAAGCAACUGUUUACCAAAAACACAGGUGCCUGCGAAAGCGAAAGCUGAAGUAUAGGUGCUGACGCCUGCCCGGUGCUGGAAGGUUAAGGAGAGAUGUCAGAGCAAUCGAAGCAUUGAACUGAAGCCCCAGUGAACGGCGGCCGUAACUAUAACGGUCCUAAGGUAGCGAAAUUCCUUGUCAGGUA
RNAcentral lists this ribosomal RNA (1981 nucleotides) under human gut metagenome. RNAcentral's name for it is "bacterial LSU rRNA". It matches the Rfam family "Bacterial large subunit ribosomal RNA", at positions 1 to 1978 of the family's 2925-position model. The record is from RNAcentral.